Molecule: non-coding RNA, 102 nt
Organism: Homo sapiens (human)
Lineage: Eukaryota; Metazoa; Chordata; Mammalia; Primates; Hominidae
Source: Rfam
UCUUGCUUCAACAACACAAAUAAUAAAAUUGGAAUGAUACAGAGAUUACUAUGGCCACUGCAUGAGGAUGUCGUGCAAAUUCAUGAUCAAUGAAAAAAAGAU